CUAGAUAAAGCAUCUCA
RNAcentral lists this transfer RNA (17 nucleotides) under Eleotris oxycephala. Its description in RNAcentral is "partial tRNA-Val". The record is from RNAcentral. Lineage: Eukaryota; Metazoa; Chordata; Actinopteri; Gobiiformes; Eleotridae.